Molecule: long non-coding RNA, 498 nt
Filed under: Capsicum annuum
Lineage: Eukaryota; Viridiplantae; Streptophyta; Magnoliopsida; Solanales; Solanaceae
Description: long non-coding RNA (CANN_LNC003096)
Source: RNAcentral
ACCUUAAGUAUUUAUAAGAGUAGUUAGGUAUUUGUGGUAUAUAGCUUAUUCUAGACAUAUAAUUUUCACCAAAAGCUUUUUCUAAGAUAAUUUUUCUUAUAUCUGCUACUUCUAUAUUUCUAAGUGCAUACAAAAUAAGUAUCUUGAAUUUAUCUACCAUCACAUCAGAUAUAUUAUCAUUCAUUUUCAUAAAUUUGCUUUUUUCAAAAUAUUCCCUUCAAUCACGUACACAACAAAAUAUGGUCAUAUUGGCUUACUAUAUACUAGAUUAUUCUUAAAUAAUAUGUUCUUCCGUCACUAUUAACAUGGUAAUCCGGAUACUUUUUCCCUUAAACAGCGCCUCUACUCUGGUUACUCCCCGCCACGGCUUCUUGCCUCAAUGGUUUCACCUUUAGGAUGGCAUAGUCCUUAGGGAUAUUUCUCCGUUUCCUCUUUGUUAAUAAACUUCUUAACAUAUUAUUCUUCGAAUAAUUCUACUAUAAAGUAACUAAUAUGAAU